Long non-coding RNA from Cyprinus carpio (common carp), 1376 nucleotides. NCBI's taxonomy places the organism in Eukaryota, Metazoa, Chordata, Actinopteri, Cypriniformes, Cyprinidae. The record is from Ensembl.
GGCCUUCCAGACCAGUGGCUCUCUCUGAGGACCCAGCAUCAGUGAUCCUCCAGCGGGCUGCAAGAUAACUUCAAAUUAACUUGAAUAUAACCAUAUAAUCAUUACUUUUAUGAUUAAUAUGUUAAAAUAAAUUGCUUCGGAUCAGCCCAAGCUAUUUCUCAUCGCGAAAUACCCAACCGUUGCAGGAGUAUUUAAUACGCAAACUACAGCUCUCAUUUGGAUAAAGCAAACCAGAGUCACUGAUGAUGUUUAGAUAGAUGAUGACAGUAAGGUAAAGACCAUAACAGUGACAUACAGGAGCCGUACAUUAUGUCCAAACCGUGUAUGUGCGCUCUCCGUGCACUGAUCACUAUAACAUCAUAUUUCUGCAUGAUCCCAGUUCAAUAUAUUCAUGUAAAUGUCAAAAUAUAGUACUAUGCAUGUUUUAUAAUGGAUACUCCCCCCGAAGAAGCAUGUUUUCAAGGAGUUUGCGAGGAUCGGUGGUGUUAAUGUACAUAUGGGCAUCAGUCCUCAAUGGUCAUCGAGUUUCCACAGAUUCACAAUGGUUUUAUUUUUCAUAUAAAAUGUACAUUUAGAAAGCAUUUUGGUGUAUUCUAUUGGUUGUAUUAGAUUUUGCUUUAUUUCACAUCACAGCUAUUCAUGCUCUAUUGCCCUGUUUCACAGACAAGGCUUACGGCUAGUCCCAGACUAAAAUUAAUGUUUGAGUCUCAACUGACAAUAACUUGCCCUCACAUAUCUUUAAAGGUGUCAGUGCCAUUGUUUUGUCUCAAGACGCACACCAGUAAUGUUUUUUUCUAAUGCAUUUUUAUAAAAGCGCAUUAAAUAUCCUAAUUUAACUAAGGCAUAUGUCACGGGGUGACGAAAGAGAAGCGGAACUAAGUCCCGUUGGAAUUGUGUUCCCCCCGGGACGGUGUCGCGGUAACACCGGUCCACUUCCGGGUUGCGCCCGAUGUCACAAUAACAACGCUAAUGAUAGAUUGACAUCUGGUGUGGGGAGUUUGACGUGGCGAUCUGUGAGAGGAUUAUGGAGGCGGAGUAACCACAUAAAAAGAGAAGUGCAGAGACCAAAAGGGAGGGGAAUUUCUGGGACGUUUGGGCUGGCGUGUGGAGGUAUUCGAGGACUAUUGUGGGGUUUCGGCUAUCUGGCUGUGCAACAGUUAUAUCAGCGAUCGAGUGGAGAUAUUCGGGACAGAAAGAGUGUGAGUUCUGGAAAGCAAGUGGAGACCAGGCCGCGCCAUCACUAUCGGAGGGAAGUUAAGAGACCUGAUCUGGGACUUCGAUCAAUUGUAUACAUCUGGACUGGGAGUGAUAACGUGGUGAAGUGGACGGAGCCAUCGUUGGAUCGCAGGAUCCUCUGGGCUGAACGCCGCAUGUGA